AACAAAGCUUGUACAUAAUUUAUAUUUUGGCAAGCCUUUCAUAUUUGAUUGAUAAAUAAUAUAGCUCAUAACUCCUAAAACUAUUCUCCAACAUACAAAACAUCAACAGCACUCCUAACAAGAAUGUACAGUCAAAAACUCCCACUCAAAACUCUAUACAAAGAUAGCCUCAGAGUCGUAACAUUGAAGAUAAAUCUAUGCUACCUUUCCAAAAAGCCUAGCUUAUAUAUAUAUACAUGCGCACACACAACUACAAACUAAAUAAUCUAGGAAGAGAAUUAUCCUAUUAUCACAUAUUAAUAUUUACAAACCUCUCCGAUACCACCACUCAUUUGCAAAGUGUUAUUGCAGAAAUUUUUCAUCCCCAGCAUUUACUGUUCUGCACCAGCAGAGCAUCCAUGGGAGUACAGGUAAUUCCCAAGACAUUAACAAGCCCAUAACACAGGAAAGUCAGAAAAAACUUUUCAACAUCUCACUUCUUUUGGAGCUGAAAGGGUUCUGAGUUUUAUCGGCAACAAUAUUGCUGUAAGGACCAACAGAUUUUGCCUUCUCAGUGUUGAUAUCAUAUGAUGCAAGCAACUUUCUCUGUAUUGAUUUCAUAGAAAAUUGAACAAAUGAGUGAAAGUCGAUUAAACUUAAUCCAUGACUACCUUACCAUCUAGGUGUUGAAAGGGGUAAAAUCAAAGUUGAUUAUACUUCUAAAAGUGGGAUAUCGAAUACAAGAUACAACAGAUAAAUGUCUAAAGUCAGAAACUCAUGAUCCCAUUUAAUGAGGCUUCUACUUGAGCACCAUAUAUAUUCAUGCCAACAACAGGAAUAACUCAAUAGCUCAUUGAAAAUGAAAAAAAUAAAAAAUGUUCCAACAUCAUAUGAACACUCUAAAGGUAUAAAUUUCUUUUUAAGACAAAAAACUCCUUUGCGUUUUAUUGAUCUUCAAUGUACCCCAUGUGGCUCAUGAAUAGGAAAAAUUUUCCACAUGAUUGAUCUACUCGAAGUGGGACCCACAAGAUUGAUCUACUCCAUGGAGACUCAUCCAUCAUCAUCAGUACAUUGGCAAUUCUAUAGUUUUUUCAAAACGCACAAAAUUUUACAAUUAUACAGAAGCAAUGCUUCAGUUAUCGAUUCUUCCUCUUUUAGGCUUUCUAUCAAAACAGGUGGUAUUAUUGUGAGUGACACCAUCACCAUUCACCAUUCACCAUUCACCAUUGAUGCUUCUUAGACAAUGGAACUACAUAAAGCUCCUAGACUAAUGGAACCCAUUAAGAAAUCCCUCUUUUUCAUGCAUUUCUUUGAACAGUGGACCGGUAUAAUGUUUAAUAAAGUCCAACUCGACAUAAAAGGGUUUCAAAGUUCAGAUUUUUCAGAUAGAGAAGGUGCUUCGAAAGAUGUAUUGAAAAAAAAAAGUCAAGGACAACAAGAAAGGGAAAAUAAAAUGAACGAGGAGGAAGAAAAAGAAAAGGAAGAAGCUUAUACAUGAUCCUCAAACUCAGGACUUGUCAAGUUAAUAGAGAGGUUUCUCAUCAACAGCAAUACCUGGGAAAUAGCCAAAUAAAAACCCACUGAAUAAAUUAUCAUCAUUUUAAAUAAACAAAACCAAAAGCUGAAAUAGUACAACCAAACGCCUUACGAUAAUAAAAGUAAAAAAAAAAAUGACGUACUGUUUCCAAGUUUAUUGGGUCCAUCUGUUUCAAAGUCUGCAGCUGACCACUGGCAUUGGGGUCAAAGACACUUCCAAUGAAGCUGUACACUUGAGCAAAAUCUGGCAUAACUCUCAUUGGCUUGCCCUGAUCUCCUCGAUCAAUUAUUUCACUAGUUUGCCAAGUCCUUGGGGUACUCUCAUUGCUGCUGCUAUAACAGCAAUUAUGUGCAAUUGUUGGCCCAGCCAAUCCAGCAUCAUCUUUAGUCACCUGAGACACAUUGACUGGUGCCAAAGAGUUAAAACCCCGGGUUGUUAAACUUCCACCAGUCAUUGGAUUUCCAAGAACUGAUGACGAAUCUGGUCUGUAAACAUAUCCACGCUCUAAUGAAGCAGAUGAAGAUUGAAAUGGACCAGUCACCUGGGAGACAACUGGAGCAUUUUUAGCUGCCUUUUGCGGGUAUGGAUGAGCUGCUUUUCUCUUUGGCCGAGGUGGAGGAACAUGUUCAGUUGUCCCAUUCUUUUGAACCUUCAGAAAGUACUUCUGUGCAUGGCUACGUAUCUGCCAAGAAAAUGCAUCAGAUCUAACAUGCAAAUAUAUAUUGACACUGGAUAUAUAGUCCACGAGUUUUAAAAAGAAACCCAAAAAAAUGUACAUGAAGUAGAUAAGAGAUGUGCUACCAAACCAGCUUUCUUGAAUACUCUCUCUUCCUCCCAUCCCCUCCUUUCCCUUUUCACUUUGCAGACAUGGAAGCAGCUAAUUAAUAUAAAUGGUUCCAUCAUUUCAUUAAAUUAUUGCCUAUCAAUAUAAAACAAAAUCUUACCAUUUUAUAACUUUGCUGGUUGGUAGACACAAGAUGAAUCUCAUGUUUUUCCCUUACAAAUUUGUUUUAGUGCCAUUUAUGUGAAUGGAACCAUAUCAACCUAAAAAUAGAAUAUCAAACGGCAAAUGAAGAUAAAAUGGUAAACAUCAAACCAAAAGAAGAGUUUAAAGAUCAACUUCAAUGUUACAAUGAUUGGGUAUGAGUAUUUGACACAGUAAAAUGUACAGGGUUCAGACUAGCCUAAUUUCCAAAAUUUCAUAGAUUUUCUUUUAAUUUCAAUUUUCAAGGUUCCUUGCCUAAAUUUAAGCAUCUUUAUCUGAUCUACAAAGUGAAGAGUCAAAGUAACUGUACAUAACUUGUUAUUUAAGGAACUGGAUGGUUUCAGCAGUCGAAAUAUGCUAUAUUAAAAUACCUGGAUGACGGUCUUAGAUCCAACAAAUGCUUCGAUCUUCUUCCAGUCACGAUCAAAUAGUUGAAGAGCUUCUAGAAACUUGUCGUGCUCUUGUUCCGUCCAGCUUUCUCUAGACUUAGUGAUAGUAUACGGUUUCCGGAUCUUCUUACUCGGAUCGUCCGCAAAUGCUACAGUAUUAGCAGCCGCACUCGUCGUGGAAGCCGAAGUGUUAACCGCCGUUGUAUUAGUAGCAAUAGUGGUGUCAGUAGUAGUAGUAUUGGUAGAAGUCAUCGGCGGCCGUAGAGAAUUCAGACCAGUAAGUCCCAUACCCAUGGGAUCGAAGAAGUAAAACCCCUGAGCUGGGUUGGGGUUCACCGACACCAUAAGCUAUAAAGCAAGAAGACGAAAGUGCUUCCCAAAACGAUUUCGUUUGGAGUUCCGUACCGGUAAACCUUUGCAGUGGUCAGCUCGUUCUCUUGGGUUUCGUUUGGUUUACUGUCCUCUGGUCCUGGGUUAAGUAGACUGCGACAAGC
Molecule: unclassified non-coding RNA, 3384 nt
Filed under: Hevea brasiliensis (rubber tree)
Lineage: Eukaryota; Viridiplantae; Streptophyta; Magnoliopsida; Malpighiales; Euphorbiaceae
Source: RNAcentral